GGUUUAAUUCGAUGAUACGCGAGGAACCUUACCCGGGCUUGAAUUGCAGAGGAAGAAUUUGGAGACAAUGACGCCCUUCGGGGUCUCUGUGAAGGUGCUGCAUGGUUGUCGUCAGCUCGUGCCGUGAGGUGUCGGCUUAAGUGCCAUAACGAGCGCAACCCCUCUCCUUAGUUGCCAUCAGGUCAAGCUGGGCACUCUGGGGACACUGCCACCGUAAGGUGUGA
This 224-nucleotide ribosomal RNA is filed under the name uncultured bacterium. RNAcentral's name for it is "partial 16S ribosomal RNA". It matches the Rfam family "Bacterial small subunit ribosomal RNA", at positions 943 to 1167 of the family's 1533-position model. The record is from RNAcentral.